Molecule: long non-coding RNA, 618 nt
Organism: Zingiber officinale
Lineage: Eukaryota; Viridiplantae; Streptophyta; Magnoliopsida; Zingiberales; Zingiberaceae
Exons: 3
Source: RefSeq, a predicted model, not a curated record
UCUCGAUCUCCUCCAACUAAAAUCGCGCCCGAAACCCCCUUCCCUCUCCGGCGAUCCUCCUCGCCAGAUCGCCGGUCACCGCGAGCUCACUGUCGGUAGGGGUCCUUCCCUCCGCUUACUCUACAGACGCCCCUUCUCCCUUCCUCUCUCUCGUGUUCCUGCCCUAGAUCGCCGACAGAGAGGUUUCGUCCACUGCGACCGCGUUCUUGCCGAGUCGCCGGAGAAAGGCCGCUGGAGAUCGAAGGGUACUGACCAUCUCUGGCUGAGCAGGCAUCUUGGUUAUUUCUUGCGGGAGAUCGAUGGUGAUCCGACGGAGCUAGGGCACAGAAGGGGGGUUUGACCCACGUCCCCAGCCGAUCGAUUCCUUCUGAUACUCCUCCAUAGUCUAUUCGUAGUGGAAGGUCUGGACCGUCACCAACUGGAGCAGAUCUUGAGCUCCUCCAUUUCUUGCGAUUGAUUGGUUCUCGGCUGAGGGAUUAGGGAUUGAUUGAGGGUUCUUUGGUAGCGGUUAGCAGAGGUUCUUGUGGGCUGUGAGAUUCAGAAUUGGCUGCCAAAACCUCACGGUUGUAGGGUUGUUCUUACCUGGUAUGUGUUGGUUUAUGGAAAGAAGUGGCGUAG